CAGCCGCCGCGGUAACACGGAGGGAGCUAGCGUUGUUCGGAAUUACUGGGCGUAAAGCGCACGUAGGCGGCUUUGUAAGUUAGAGGUGAAAGCCUGGAGCUCAACUCCAGAACUGCCUUUAAGACUGCAUCGCUUGAAUCCAGGAGAGGUGAGUGGAAUUCCGAGUGUAGAGGUGAAAUUCGUAGAUAUUCGGAAGAACACCAGUGGCGAAGGCGGCUCACUGGACUGGUAUUGACGCUGAGGUGCGAAAGCGUGGGGAGCAAACAGGAUUAGAGACCCCUGUAGUCCCUGUCUCUUAUAC
Molecule: ribosomal RNA, 301 nt
Filed under: uncultured bacterium
Lineage: Bacteria
Description: partial 16S ribosomal RNA
Rfam family: Bacterial small subunit ribosomal RNA
Source: RNAcentral